Molecule: ribosomal RNA, 341 nt
Filed under: Listeria monocytogenes
Lineage: Bacteria; Bacillati; Bacillota; Bacilli; Caryophanales; Listeriaceae
Description: bacterial SSU rRNA
Rfam family: Bacterial small subunit ribosomal RNA
Source: RNAcentral
UAUGUCUUGGGCUUCACGCGUGCUACAAUGGUCGGUACAAUGGGUUGCGAUACUGUGAGGUGGAGCUAAUCCCAAAAAGCCGGUCUCAGUUCGGAUUGGGGUCUGCAACUCGACCCUAUGAAGUCGGAGUCGCUAGUAAUCGCAGAUCAGCAAUGCUGCGGUGAAUACGUUCCCGGGCCUUGUACACACCGCCCGUCAAGUCACGAAAGUCGGUAACACCCGAAGCCGAUGGCCCAAGCUUUAUGCAGGGAGUCGUCGAAGGUGGGAUCGGUGAUUGGGACUAAGUCGUAACAAGGUAGCCGUACCGGAAGGUGCGGCUGGAUCACCUCCUUUCUAAGGAG